RNAcentral lists this ribosomal RNA (252 nucleotides) under uncultured bacterium. Its description in RNAcentral is "partial 16S ribosomal RNA". It matches the Rfam family "Bacterial small subunit ribosomal RNA", at positions 524 to 776 of the family's 1533-position model. The record is from RNAcentral.
UACGGAGGAUGCGAGCGUUAUCCGGAUUUAUUGGGUUUAAAGGGUGCGUAGGCGGGCUUUUAAGUCAGCGGUAAAAAUUCGGGGCUCAACCCCGUCCGGCCGUUGAAACUGGGGGCCUUGAGUGGGCGAGAAGAAGGCGGAAUGCGUGGUGUAGCGGUGAAAUGCAUAGAUAUCACGCAGAACCCCGAUUGCGAAGGCAGCCUUCCGGCGCCCUACUGACGCUAAGGCACGAAAGUGCGGGGAUCGAACAGG